ACUCCUACGGGAGGCAGCAGUGGGGAAUAUUGCACAAUGGGGGAAACCCUGAUGCAGCCAUGCCGCGUGUGUGAAGAAGGCCUUCGGGUUGUAAAGCACUUUCAGCGAGGAGGAAAGGGUGUGUGCUAAUACCAUACAUCUGUGACGUUACUCGCAGAAGAAGCACCGGCUAACUCCGUGCCAGCAGCCGCGGUAAUACGGAGGGUGCGAGCGUUAAUCGGAAUUACUGGGCGUAAAGCGUGCGCAGGCGGUUUGUUAAGCGAGAUGUGAAAGCCCCGGGCUCAACCUGGGAAUUGCAUUUCGAACUGGCAAGCUAGAGUCUUGUAGAGGGGGUAGAAUUUGCAGGUGUAGCGGUGAAAUGCGUAGAGAUGGGAAGGAACAUCAGUGGCGAAGGCGGCCACCUGGACUGAUACUGACACUGAGGUGCGAAAAGCGUGGGGAGCAAACAGGAUUAGAUACCCUGGUAGCGAGUAG
RNAcentral lists this ribosomal RNA (474 nucleotides) under uncultured bacterium. Its description in RNAcentral is "bacterial SSU rRNA". It matches the Rfam family "Bacterial small subunit ribosomal RNA", at positions 335 to 802 of the family's 1533-position model. The record is from RNAcentral.